Molecule: long non-coding RNA, 534 nt
Organism: Larimichthys crocea (large yellow croaker)
Lineage: Eukaryota; Metazoa; Chordata; Actinopteri; Sciaenidae
Exons: 4
Source: RefSeq, a predicted model, not a curated record
GCUCAUCAGUCUCAGCCUGAUCAGUCCAUCGGUCAAAAUGUCCACGAGGAUCCUGUCCAUCACUCUCCUGGCUCUUAGUGUGUUCUCUGUCCUUGCAGUAGGUAGCAGACGCUUCCCCACCAGGUGGGUUGGACCGUGCUGCGUUAAACUCAGCACUGGUAUUAUCAGCGAUGAUGUGACUGGGGACACAUAUCAUGAAUCACCUCACAAGCGUCCCUGUGUCGAUGCUAUAAUUUUUACCACCCGACGUGGAGAUGCCUGCGUUGAUCCCAAUUUGGAAUGGGUGAAGGAACUCACCGCCAACAUGACGAAGGUGUGAAACAUCGCCGUCUCUCUGAGCAAACUGCUGCUGCUGUUUGAAAACCUCCGACAUACACACACACACACGUUACAUGUACACACAUAUAUUCUGCUGAAAUAAUCCCUCUGAGUGCACAUACAUCAACGCUUGCUACUGAGCCCAAACAUAUAUAUAUAUAUACACUGCAUGCUUAAAGUGUAAUAUCAAGCAAUAAAUAUAUUUUGUACUUCAAA